This 254-nucleotide ribosomal RNA is filed under the name uncultured bacterium. Its description in RNAcentral is "partial 16S ribosomal RNA". It matches the Rfam family "Bacterial small subunit ribosomal RNA", at positions 524 to 776 of the family's 1533-position model. The record is from RNAcentral.
UACGGGGGGAGCAAGCGUUGUUCGGAUUUACUAGGCGUAAAGGGCGCGUAGGCGGCCACCGCAGGUCGACUGUGAAAUCUCCGGGCUUAACCCGGAAAGGUCAGCCGAUACUGCGGGGCUAGAGUGCAGAAGGGGCAACUGGAAUUCUCGGUGUAGCGGUGAAAUGCGUAGAUAUCGUAAGGAAGACCAGUGGCGAAGGCGAGUCUCUGGACAGUUACUGACGCUGAGGCACGAAGGCCAGGGGAGCAAACGGG